This 500-nucleotide ribosomal RNA is filed under the name uncultured bacterium. RNAcentral's name for it is "partial 16S ribosomal RNA". It matches the Rfam family "Bacterial small subunit ribosomal RNA", at positions 30 to 523 of the family's 1533-position model. The record is from RNAcentral.
AUUGAACGCUGGCGGCAUGCCUUACACAUGCAAGUCGAACGGCAGCACGGGAGCAAUCCUGGUGGCGAGUGACGAACGGGUGAGUAAUAUAUCGGAACGUGCCCAGUCGUGGGGGAUAACGUAGCGAAAGCUACGCUAAUACCGCAUACGAUCUAUGGAUGAAAGCGGGGGAUCGCAAGACCUCGCGCGAUUGGAGCGGCCGAUAUCAGAUUAGGUAGUUGGUGAGGUAAAGGCUCACCAAGCCGACGAUCUGUAGCUGGUCUGAGAGGACGACCAGCCACACUGGGACUGAGACACGGCCCAGACUCCGGCGGGAGGCAGCAGUGGGGAAUUUUGGACAGUGGGCGCGAGCCUGAUCCAGCAAUGCCGCGUGCAGGAUGAAGGCCUUCGGGUUGUAAACUGCUUUUGUACGGAACGAAACGGUGAGCUCUAAUACAGUUUGCUAAUGACGGUACCGUAAGAAUAAGCACCGGCUAACUACGUGCCAGCCGCCGCGGUAA